Molecule: small nucleolar RNA, 73 nt
Filed under: Podiceps cristatus (great crested grebe)
Lineage: Eukaryota; Metazoa; Chordata; Aves; Podicipediformes; Podicipedidae
Description: Small nucleolar RNA SNORD59
Rfam family: Small nucleolar RNA SNORD59
About the family: U59 belongs to the C/D class of snoRNA which contain the C (UGAUGA) and D (CUGA) box motifs. Most of the members of the box C/D family function in directing site-specific 2'-O-methylation of substrate RNAs.
Source: Rfam by way of RNAcentral
CCUUCGCUGAUGAGUAACAGUUUACUUUCGUUCUUCUGAGCUUGCUGAAGCAACACGUAGUGAUCUGAGGAGG